This 6846-nucleotide long non-coding RNA is filed under the name Gossypium barbadense (sea-island cotton). RNAcentral describes it as "long non-coding RNA (GBAR_LNC004430)". The record is from RNAcentral. Lineage: Eukaryota; Viridiplantae; Streptophyta; Magnoliopsida; Malvales; Malvaceae.
GCUAAACCAAACCCCAGCAUCUCCUUUUUGAUUUCCCCUUAACAGAAUCCCAAUCUCACCGAUCUGCCCCUAUCAACAGUGACCAACAGAUUCGGGCUUCAAGGGACGACAAUCUCGACCGCCAGAUUCUUUCUACGCUCCGAUUUCAACGAAAAAGAUGAAAUCUCUUAGCACAUUUGCAAGGUAAUUCUCUUGUUUUCUCUUUGUUUUCAAAUGCAUAUAAACUCUAAUGAAAGACUAAUGGAAUCGAAAGAGAAAAGAAAAAUUAAAAAUAUUUGAAUCCAAAAUCACCUUUUCAAUUUUGAUUGCUUUUUUCAAUAUCCGUAUCUUCGACCCUCUACAAAUUACAUUCGGUCUUUAUUUAUAGUCGAAUAAAGAAAAAUAAGAAAAAACAGAAAAUAAAAGAAAUUCCCUAGAUCUUUCUAUUAUUUUUCGCUGCCCAUUUGCUGUAGAUUUGCUUUGUUGUUGCACCCUUCUUGCUGUGGCUUGUGGUUUGUUAAUUUGUUAUAGGUACAGAAGGAGCCAGUUGGAGGUGGUGACGUACGUGGGAUGUACGGAGGAAAAGGUCUGCUCGUGGUGAGGCUGUUUGUAGGAGCUGCAGUACAGGCUUCCAGAAGCUUCAACCUACUUGGACCCUACGAGCUUACCCCGGAGUCCAGCUGCUGGGGCUUGGAGGCUAUUGCGGGGUGAGGAAACUUCAGAAACCCUUAAGGUUUCUGAAAGAAUUUAGACAUCGGGCCCUUUUGGGUUAAUUUUUAUUUGGGCCAAAGGUUUAGAUUUGGGCUAUUAUUUUUGGGCUUUUGUACUUAGGCUAAUCAGGCCUUGCUUAUUCAGGUCUGACCCUGCAUUGAUCUGGACCUAUUUAGGUUUUGGGGUUUAUUGGGCUAUAAAUGUAAAUGGACUGGGACUAUUAAAACAUUUGGUUUUAUUUAUUUUGUUUGUUUUUUUUUUUUGGUUUUUGUAUAGGCCCGGGCGAAAUGGGCCUAUUUCAUGGAGCGUUCAAAGAUGAUUUAGGAUUCACAGAAAGAGAUAUAUUGCAACACCUGGUUUUCAAUUAACCCGAAAUUACGAAUGAAUAAGGGACUAAAUUAGAGAUCGCAAGUUGGCCUAUAUUGAAAGAAACGGGAAAGCUGGAAACUAAAUUGGACAUGGUUUAGAUCUGAUUCUGGUUCAGUUAGGAUGGAACCUAUUAGUUCCUUAAUGGGAGACAUCAUAACUAGCAAUGUUCUCAUAAGGUUGGUGAUAGCGCGAGAAGGGUUAUAAAUAGUUAGGAGAUGGCUCCCAGGUAUGAUUUUUUCUUUCUGAGUUAGUUUCUUUUUCUCUUCAUCAUUUUUUUUGAUAGCCUGAAAAAGGAUUAACCAUGGAAGGUUCAGCAUGGAGCAAACUUCAAAAGGAUGGAAAUGGAAAAGUAGGGAAACCAACAAGCGGGUAAGGUUCUUAACCCUUUUAUGUGCGUAGAAUGAAGUUAUAAAACUUUAGAACUAUUUUAAAGGUAGUAACGCUUAGCUACCAAGAGAAUGGAAGCUCUGGUAUUCGAGAAGGCUAAGCUAUGGAAACAAUAAGGAUUUAGGUGAGUUCUAGACAUAAAAUAAAUUGACUUAAUUAAAGUAUUUCCAAAUCGUAGAAUUUACUUCUAAUUCAAAUAAAGUUCAAUCGAGCUUUUAUUAAGCUAGCGGAGGGACUAAUCAGACAUAUACAAUUAGGCUCUAGUAAUUACAAUUAUGUCUAGAAGCAUCUUUCCGAUAAUUUGCAAUUACUUAAUCAUAGAGUCAGUCCACAUUGAAAAUGUAACACCCCUUACCCGUAUUCAUCGCCGCAAUAGGGUAGGAGGCAUUACCGGAGUUUACCGAAUUAAUUUUUCGUUAAUACGAGUUAAAUACUAUUUAUUUACUAAAACAUGUCAUGGUGUCCUUUAGAUGGGCCUCCAAAGCCCAAAACAUACUUCGAGACCAAACUAGAAUUAAAUCGAAACCAUAGGGAAUUUUUUGCAAAAUCCCAAAGUUUUUUUUUUUUGCUCAAUAUAACCCCUUUAUAAAUAUCUAACCUUCCCUGCAAUUUUUAAAACCGAGACCAAUCCAACCAACCAAUUCAUUUCAAUCAAUUUAAUACAAAAUUAUACUUCUAUUAUAAUUAUACUAUUUAACAUACUCAUCAUUCUUUACUUUAAUGUAUAUUCAUUAAACAAGUCUUAAUAUUUAUAUAAUCACCAAGCCUUAUACAUGCCAUAUAAAUCAAAAAGGAAAUUUACAAAAGCUACCGGAGAUAAUCUAGAUAGUGUGAUCCUCUGUAUUGAUCCGAUUCUCCGUAUACUUCCACGUCAAUCUACAAGAGACUUUGAAUACACUCAAAUAAGCUUAUAAAAGCUUAGUAAGUUCAUAGGCAUAAAACAUAAAUCUUACCAAAUAUUUAUACACUUAUACUAUAUACACAAUUAUUAAGUUUACCUGUCAAUCACAGUCAUUGGUGAGUUCCCUAUAUAAACUCACUACCACUUAUCCAUUUCCAUUAAUUCCUUUGGGCCCAUUUGUCAUGUAUCAUUCUUUAACCAAAUUAGGGAAUGGUAAAGGAAAAUUGAGUAUUUCACUUUCACUUUGUCAUAGUAUAACUAUGGUCUUGCAUAUGAUCACUUAUCACUUUUUAAAAUCAUAGUCCUGCCACGGUCUUACACUGAUCACAUUUAUCACUUGUCACUGAUCAGAUAAGUGUAGCUAAAGCUACCACUUAUCACUUAUCACUUGUCACUGAUCAGAUAAGAGUAGCUAAGCUACCACUUAUCAUUUGUCACUUAUCACUGAUCAGAUAAGUGUAGCUGAGGCUACCACUUAUCACUUAUCACUUGUCACUGAUCAGAAGUACUCAAAUCCGACAUUCCACUCAAUUUGAUCAUUUAUUCGAUUUUCAGGUUGUUAUUUUAUUUUCUAUUCAUCAAUAAAUAUAUUUCAUCAUACAUUAUAUAAUUCAUAAAAUUAACAUAUAAUCAUUAAACUUCAACCAUAUGAACUUACCUGGGUUGAUUUGUAAAAUUUGUGAAAAUUCAGGGACUAAUCAGCUACUUUUUCUUUUCCUCGACUUGCUUCAGGUUCUUGAUCUAUCAUUGUAAAAUCAUUCAUUUAUCAGUAUUGACUUCAUCUUCAACCCGCUUAUAAGUAAUAUCAUCUAUAAUUUAAUUGUUUACUUAUGUAUAUUCCAAUGUUGUCCAUCUGUGUUAUAGUCACUAAAUUAUUUUUAUCUUUAGCUACAGAACUCCAAAUUAGGAUCCGCUAAUUUUAUCUAAAACUAGACUCAUAUAUCUUCUUAUCAUAAAAUUUUUAGAAUUUUUGGUUUAGCCAAUAAGUACACUUUAUUCUUUAAAGUCACCCCUGUUCUGCUAUCUGACAAUUCCGACCCUUCUUCACUAAAAAUUAAUUAUCUCUUCGUACAGAAUUCGGAUGAUGUCCAUGUUUGUUUCUAUUGAAAAUAGACUCAAUAAGGAAUCUGUACAUAUAAAGAAUGACUUCUAAUUAUUUUUUUUACAAUUUAUUAUGAAUUUUUAAAGUAAGAAUAGAGGAUCCAGAAAUCACUCUGGCCCUGUUUCACAAGGUUUCAAAUAUAUCAUAAAGUAUAAUUUAUAUGUCUCUUUUUUUUAUCCAUAUGAAAAUAGACUCAUUAAGCUUAAAUUUCAUAACUUGCUCAUCAUUUAAUUCCAUUUAUACUAUUUUUAGUGAUUUUUCAAAGUUAGACUACUGCUACUGUCCAAAACUGUUUUAGUGCAAAUGUUGAUUUCGAUUUUUGCCCCAAAUUUCACAGUUCAUACAAUUCAGUCAUUGCUCAAUUAAUCCCUCAAUGAAGCUAAUUAUUCCCAAUUAAUGCUUUACCUUAACAUUAUAAGUUAUUUCACAAUUAUUUAAAUUCAGAAUUUCCACAUAAAACCUUAACUUCAAACUUUUUCACCUUUAGAUCCCAAACAUUCACUUUCUAUUCAAUUCUUUCAAUAAAAUCAGCAUAUAAACAAUUUAAAACUCUAAUUCCAUGCUAAAUCAUCAUAUAAUUCCAGCACAUAUUCAUAUCAACUUUCAAUUUCUUUCAUAGAAUCAAAAACUAAUGAAUUCAACAAGUUGAUCUAGUUGUAAAAGUCAUAAAAACACAAAAAUUUCAAGAAAUAAUCAAGAAUUGAACUUACUUGCAGUAAAAAUAUGAAAAACCAGCUUAAGAAAACCCUUCUAUGGUGGAUUUCUUCUGAUGAGAAUGCAGAAAAAUAAUGAGAAUUCUAGAUAAUUCCACUUUAGUCCUAGUUUAUUAAGUAAAAUUUUACAAUAUUCCAAUUUUGCCCUUAAUUCAUCAAUUUUCCUGCUGAUUUCAUGCACCUUGCCGUCCAGACCAAAUAGGCCUGGGGUCUAUUUGCCUUUUAAACCCUCUUUCUUUUAUCAUUUAAGCUAUUUAAUCAUUUCCCAUAAUUUUACAUUUGUUACAAUUUAAUCCUUUUUAUUCAAUUAACUAUCGAAACUUUAAAAUUUCUUGACGAAACUUUAAUACUAACUUAUUAACACUCCAUAAAUAUUUAUAAAAAUAUUUAUGGCUCGUUUUAAAAAUUUUCAAAUUCUCGAUAUCUCGUUUCUGAUUCUAAUUUAAUUUUUUUUUCAAGUAUACUAUUCGCUAUUUCAAAAAUUUUCCUAACUUCACACUUAACUUAUAUUCACUAAAUUAUUAAUAUUUUCUACUCAUUUGUCGGAUUUAGUGAUCUCGAAUCACUAUUCUGACACCACUGAAAAUUCAGGCUAUUACAGAAAACUACUUAUUGUAUACUCUUUACGAAAGUAAUUCAUCGAACUACUUUGUCCAAUGACAUUGUCAUGUGUAUGUUAUCCUCAUAUGAGAUCCUUGAUUCCUUUGAAUUAAAUCCGUUUACUCAAUAUAAUCAUAUGUUAUCUCAUUGUAACCAUUGUGUCUUCUUAAUGAUUAAUAUGACCACUGUCAACAAAUGAUUGUGAUAAAUUUCUCGUUCGAAAACGAGUAACCCGUGGUCAUGUUUCAUAUUUAUCAAUCUACACAAUGCCAAUGGGAGAAUAUCGUUAACUCUUUAAUUGAGCUAUGAAUUCCACUGUUGCUAGUAAAGUCAUGCCAUACACAAGUCAUGUACCCAACGUACCAACUAUCGGCUUGAUCAUCUUUAAAGCAUAAGCCUCCACUUAUUUCAAAGCACAUGAGUUACAUAUGCAUGGUCUAAUUGAGCUAUGAAUUCCAUUUUUGCUAGUAAAGUCAUGCCAUACAAAAGUCAUGUACCCAAUGUACUAACUAUCGGCUUGAUCAUCUUUAGAGCAUAAGCCUCCACUUAUUUCAAAGCACAUGAGUUACAUACGCAUGGUCAGUGACUAACUCAGGAUUUAGGUAAAUCACACCAUGAAUGUAACAAGUGAAUUAAUUCACAAACGGAUUCAGAAUUAAUUCAUCUUGGGUCCGGUCCAAUAUAUCAUUCUGCCAAUGAAUACAUCUAUAUCUUUACCCGUAGAGUCAACUGCUCCGAUAACCAAGAUUAGGCAUCUCCUUAAUUAAAAUUGUAGACAACAUAAUAUCAUUUUUAGUAUUUGAAUCAAAUGCUUUCUUUGUUUUUUUUUUACGGGAUUACAGACUCACUUAGAUUAUCUAUUGAAGUAAGAUGUCUUUCUUACAAUGUAAACAUUCUUACAAUGCCACUUAUCAUCAGUUUGAACUUAAACAAUCAAUGAGCUAAUUUUUGCUUGUUACAAUGUCACUAUGCAUGCAAAAUAUGAAAGAUAGAAUUACAAAAGAUAUAACAGUGAAAUGUCAAAUUUAUUUAUUCAUCGUUCAAAUACAUAGAAAACAAUUACAUGUUUACUACAAUAUGUGAACAUUUCUGAACAAUCUUCCACUUUCCCUAGUAAAGUAAAUGUGUCAUGUUUCACAUUCCUAUAUCUUCAACGUGUUUGUUAAAACCCCUAGUUUUGUUAAAAUUCCUAGUUAUAAGAAUUUUAGUAAAUGGAUCUGCAAUGUUAUCUUCAGAAGCUACUUUCACCACAUCUACAAUUCCUUCAGUUACUGCCUCUCGUAUCAAGUGACUUCUCAUUUCGUCCUCUUGUAACUUCUUAUUUCAUUGGUAUUAGCUAUUGCAACACUGUUAUCACAAUACAAUGUUAUAGCUUUUUCUAUACCAAGACUUCAAGAUCGAUUAAGAACUUUCGAAGCCAUAUUGCUUCUUUAAUUGUCUCAGAAGUAGCGACAUACUCGGCCUCCAUAGUAGAGUCAGUAGUGCAAGUUUGUUUUACACUUCUCUAUACUAUGGCUCUAUGGCCUAGAACAAAUACAUUUCCUGAUGUCGAUUUUCUCGAAUCUUUACAGGUUUGGAAGUUCGAGUAUAUGUUUUCAAUAGGAGUAAGGUUCUCUCUAAAAUACACAAGCAUAUAAUCCCUUAUUCUUUUAAGAUACUUUAAUAUAUGCUUUACAACUUGCCAAUGCUUGAGACCAUGAUUUGCCUGAUAUCGAUUAAUCAUUCCUAUUACAAAACAGAUAUCUAGACAUGUGCAAAGCAUCGCAUGAUAAGGUUUUCAACUAUCGAAGCAUAUGAAAUCUUACUCAUAUGCUCUCUUUCUUUUGCUGUCUUAGGACAAUCAUCUAGAAAAAGAUGAAAAUCUGAUGCAAUCAAUUGAGUGCCUGGCUUUGCAUUUAUCAUUGCAAAAUGUUCCGAUUCUUUAAAAUUAUUAUUUUUAUUAUAAAAUUAAAGAAGAUUAUACCUUUAAAUAUUUGAGAAUCCCAAAUAUUUUAAGUGUUUAUUAUUAAGAAGGAUUUCUUAUCUCACCGGAAUCUCAAACAUCGAUUUUUAUUCUUGAUUCUCACGCAAUAUGGAAACGGAAG